CCUACGGGUGGCUGCAGUGAGGAAUAUUGGACAAUGGGCGGAAGCCUGAACCAGCCAAGUCGCGUGAGUGAAUAAGGCCCUACGUGUCGUAAACCCCUUUUGCCGGGGAGCAAGGGCGGGGACGUGUCCCGGCCCGGAGAGUACCCGGCGAAAAAGCAUCGGCGAACUCCGGGCCAGCAGCCGCGGUAUUACGGGGGAUGCGAGGGUUAUCGGGAUUUAUUGGGGUUAAAGGUUUCGUGAGCGGGCUUUUAAGUCAGCGGUAAAAAUUCGGGGCUCAACCCGGUCCGGCGGUUGAAACUGGGGGCCUUGAGUGGGGGAGAAGAAGGCGGAAUGCGUGGUGUAGCGGUGAAAUGCAUAGAUAUUACGCAGAACACCGAUUGCGAAGGCAGCCUUCCGGCGCCCUACUGACGCUGAGGCACGAAAGUGCGGGGAUCGAACAGGAUUAGAUACCCCUGUAGUC
RNAcentral lists this ribosomal RNA (460 nucleotides) under uncultured bacterium. Its description in RNAcentral is "partial 16S ribosomal RNA". It matches the Rfam family "Bacterial small subunit ribosomal RNA", at positions 338 to 795 of the family's 1533-position model. The record is from RNAcentral.